Molecule: ribosomal RNA, 491 nt
Filed under: uncultured bacterium
Lineage: Bacteria
Description: partial 16S ribosomal RNA
Rfam family: Bacterial small subunit ribosomal RNA
Source: RNAcentral
AGUGAACGCUGGCGGUAGGCCUAACACAUGCAAGUCGAACGGCAGCACAGUAAGAGCUUGCUCUUACGGGUGGCGAGUGGCGGACGGGUGAGGAAUACAUCGGAAUCUACUUUUUCGUGGGGGAUAACGUAGGGAAACUUACGCUAAUACCGCAUACGACCUACGGGUGAAAGCAGGGGAUCUUCGGACCUUGCGCGAUUGAAUGAGCCGAUGUCGGAUUAGCUAGUUGGCGGGGUAAAGGCCCACCAAGGCGACGAUCCGUAGCUGGUCUGAGAGGAUGAUCCGCCACAGUGGAACUGAGACACGGUCCAGACCCCUACGGGAGGCAGCAGGGGGGAAUAUUGGAAAAGGGGCGCAAGCCUGAUCCAGCCAUACCGCGUGGGUGAAGAAGGCCUUCGGGUUGUAAAGCCCUUUUGUUGGGAAAGAAAAGCAGCAGGUUAAUACCCCGCUGUUCUGACGGUACCAAAAGAAUAAGCACCGGCUAACUUCGU